This 440-nucleotide long non-coding RNA is filed under the name Sus scrofa (pig). RNAcentral's name for it is "lncRNA (ENSSSCG00070016381.1)". The record is from RNAcentral. Lineage: Eukaryota; Metazoa; Chordata; Mammalia; Artiodactyla; Suidae.
UGGAGAGAACAAAGGAGACAGUGGACAUAAAUUCUAUUUUGAGCUCAAUUAACCUCCAUGGCUACACUAAAAGAAUCUUCUCCUCAAGAUUUUCACUGAAGUUAUGAAGACUGAUUAAAACAUUAAUUGGAGGAAUAAAUUUUCUUCAAUAUAAAACCAUUAACUGGCAAUUAACUUUGUAAACACAUCUUCUGCUAAUACUGAGGACAUACAAUCAUACAGAUCCAUUUAUGCAUACCUUCUGAAGCCAAUAUAUGGGAAUAACAAUAUUGACCACAAAAUGGAGAUAUACCGAAGGCUUCACAUUUUACCAUUUUAACUUUUAAUUUUAUAGAUAGGGGCAUACAAGCUACUGAGAGUAUUAUAAGACUGGUCCUACCAUCAUUCUUGGAGAGCUGCAAAGUCCUGGACACAGAUGAAAGCUACUCCGCCUAAGUAGC